UCCUUCAGGUCUGCUUUGGUCAUUGGUUGAUCUUCCAUGGUUGAUCAAGCAAAGAAAAGAGACAGGAGAAAGCCUGCUCUGAUGCCACUUGAUACAGCGGAAGUCGUACUAGGAUUGCAAGCGCAAAUCCUAAGGA
RNAcentral lists this microRNA precursor (136 nucleotides) under Lotus japonicus. RNAcentral describes it as "miR11075a stem-loop (lja-MIR11075a, lja-MIR11075b, lja-MIR11075c)". Lineage: Eukaryota; Viridiplantae; Streptophyta; Magnoliopsida; Fabales; Fabaceae. The record is from miRBase by way of RNAcentral.